GCCCUCAUCGAUUAGUUUAGGUCAAAUCAAUCGUCUCAUAUAACACGUAUGCGAUCGGUAGCCAGCAGUUCGAAUCUGCUUGAGGGCA
Kwoniella heveanensis BCC8398 is the source of this 88-nucleotide non-coding RNA. Lineage: Eukaryota; Fungi; Basidiomycota; Tremellomycetes; Tremellales; Cryptococcaceae. The record is from the annotation of a GenBank genome assembly.